AGAUGACGACCGGCGCACGGGUGAGUAACACGUAUCCAACCUGCCGAUAACUCGGGGAUAGCCUUUCGAAAGAAAGAUUAAUACCCGAUGGCAUAACAGAACCGCAUGGUUUGAUUAUUAAAGAAUUUCGGUUAUCGAUGGGGAUGCGUUCCAUUAGGCAGUUGGUGGGGUAACGGCCCACCAAACCUUCGAUGGAUAGGGGUUCUGAGAGGAAGGUCCCCCACAUUGGAACUGAGACACGGUCCAA
This 247-nucleotide ribosomal RNA is filed under the name uncultured bacterium. Its description in RNAcentral is "partial 16S ribosomal RNA". It matches the Rfam family "Bacterial small subunit ribosomal RNA", at positions 86 to 334 of the family's 1533-position model. The record is from RNAcentral.